CUCAAAAUAAAAAAGGCUGGGAUAUGGUUUAGUAGUAAAGUGCCCCUGGGUUAAAUCUCUAGUAACAAACAGAAGAACCUGGGUUAUCCUCCCCUUUUCCUUUGAGCAAGGCUCCUUAAGCAAUUGUGUGGGCUUGAAGCCUGUUCUCUAGUAAGAGUGAGUUAGCUUCCCCAUCAGAAUUCAAACAUGAGAAAGAAUCUUGAUUGAUUAUAUUCAUGGUCUUUUGCAGAUAUUCUAACAACUUAGUUGAAUGAAGUCAUGAAGUUUUUUUUUAAUCUGUGUAGUUGAAAUAUAAUUGGAAUUAUCCUGACCAUUUAUAGGAGAAUACACAAAGAUAUCUAUAAAAUAAUAAUAUAUCAGUUGUUCAGGCUAUGAGAGGACAUAAAAUCUUAUUUACUCUGGUCUAAGUCAUGCUUAUAGCCAUUGCCCCUCCUUGUAUUCUAUUUUGUAGUUUAGGAGAAGGUACCUCUCUUAGUUUCUGAGUGGAAGAUAAAUACUGGGCUAAUCAGGAUGGAAAUAACCAUUUG
Molecule: long non-coding RNA, 527 nt
Filed under: Marmota monax (woodchuck)
Lineage: Eukaryota; Metazoa; Chordata; Mammalia; Rodentia; Sciuridae
Source: RNAcentral